This 2862-nucleotide ribosomal RNA is filed under the name Candidatus Amesbacteria bacterium GW2011_GWC1_46_24. Its description in RNAcentral is "bacterial LSU rRNA". It matches the Rfam family "Bacterial large subunit ribosomal RNA". Lineage: Bacteria; Candidatus Amesiibacteriota. The record is from RNAcentral.
GCAGACAACGAAUGCCUAGGAUACUGAAGCCGAAGAAGGACGUACGUGGCCACGAAAGUCGUCGGGGAGCUGCCAAGAAGCUUUGAUCCGGCGGUGUCCGAAUGGGGAAACCCCCUCUUUAUGAGGACCCCGCCUAUGGCGGGGGGGGCACGCCCUGAACUGAAACAUCUAAGUAAGGGCAGGAAAAGAAAUCAACGUUCGCGCAAGCGAGAGAGAUUCCGUAAGUAAGCGGUGAGCGAAAGCGGAACAGCCUAAACCCCGCCGCAAGGCGAGGGUGUUGCGGGAAGGCCGAGUGACCGGCAAGGGUAGUCGAACUGUCUGGAAAGGCAGGCUAUAAAACGUGACAGCCGUGUAGGCGAAACCCAAGCCGGCGUGAAGCCGAAUUCCCAAGUACCAUGAGGCACAUACCUUGUGGGAAUCCGGGGUGACCACACUCCAAGGCUAAAUACUUCAGUGUACCGAUAGUGAACUAGUACCGUGAGGGAAAGGCGAAAAGAAGGGUGAGAAACCUAGUGAAAUAGAACCUGAAAUUGUCUGCUGUCAAGCAGACGGAGUCCCGCCUUUGGCGGGAUGACGUCGUGCCUAUUGAAGAAUGAUCCGGCGAGUUUUCGUUACAUGCAUGUCUAAUCCGUCUAAAGCGGAGGAGGCGUAGUGAAAGCGAGGGUUAACAGCCCGUAUAUUGCAUGUGAUGGAAGACCCGAAACCUGGUGAGCUAACCAUGAGCAGGGUGAACCCCGUCGAAAGACGGGGGGAGGCCCGCACUCGUCAGAGUUACAAAUCUGUGAGAUGACUUGUGGUUAGGGGUAAUAUGCCAAUCGAACCAGGAGAUAGCUGGCUCUCCCCGAAAUAUAUACAGGGCAUCUUUAGGUGUCCUAUUCAAUCAAACUCCGAAUUCUUGAAAGCUACAUCUUAGGAGUCAGAACGACCCGGCUAAGCGGGCCGCUCUAAAGGGAAACAACCCAGACUGUCGUCUAAGGCCUCUAAAUGAAUGCUCAGUGUUGAACGAAGUCAAAUUCCUCAGACAGCCAGGAGGUUGGCUCAGAAGCAGCCAUCCUUUAAAGAAAGCGUAACAGCUCACUGGUCGACCUUGGAAUUUGGCGCGGAAAAUGAACCGAGGCUUAAGCAUUCUGCCGAAGACACAGAUUUUUUUGACGUUCGCGUCAAAAAAGUGGUAGGGGAGCGUUGAAGGAGCAGUGAAGUCCCUCUGUAAAGAUCGGGAUGGAGCGACUUCAAGUGAGAAUGCCGGAAUGAGUAGCGUAAGCCCGAUGAGAAUUCGGGCCGCCGAAACCCCAAGGUUUUCCCAGCCAUGUUGUUCAGCUGGGAGUGAGUCGGCACCUAAGGUGAGGCCUAAGUUGGCGUAACCGAUGGACGAGCCGUUAACAUUCGGCUACAUGAUAAGUAUCGUUAUAAAAUCAGGGAUGGACAAAAUGAGAAUAUCCGAACGCACGUAGUGAAUGUGGCGUUUAAGCAGCAAGACAGUUAGGCUUGGAAAAACCGGUCUGACGUUUAAUUGAGCUGUGAUGAGAAGUCUGGCGAGAAAUCAACGGGCAACUCGGACGGUUUUUGUUUUCCAGAAAAGAUUCGUGGUGAGAUAUUUAUUAUGCCGUACCGCAAACCGACACUGGUGGGGUGGUCGAGUAGACCAAGGCGAUCGGGAGAAGGUAGUUCAAGGAACUCGGCAAAAAAUCUGGACGUAAUCUAGAGAGAUGUCCUUCCCGCCUAUGGCGGGACGCAGCGAAAGAUUAUUCCCCGACUGUUUAACUAAAACACAGGUCUGUGCAAACUUGAAAGAGAAAGUAUACAGGCUGAGGCCUGCCCAGUGCUCGUAAGUUAAGUGGAUGGCUGAGAUUACAUCAAGGCUUGAAAUGAAGCCCGAGUGAACGGCAGCAGUAACUAUGUCGAACUGUUCUAUGGUAGCGAAGUUCCUUGUCGGGUAAGCGGCAGUUCCGACCCGCACGAAAGGCUUAACGAGGGAAUAACUGUCUUGAACUAUCACCCGGCGAAUUUGAAAUGGCUGUGAAGAUGCGGCCUAACUCUACUAGGACAAAAAGACCCUAUGGAGCUUUACUGUACCCAGGCCCUGUUUUGGAUUUUGAGAUAGUUUAGAGUAGGAGGGAGUUCUCGGACAAAAGUGAAACACCUCCCGUUUUGGAAUUUCAAAACUUACCCAGACCAGCUGGAAACGCUGGUGGGGACGAGGUCUGGAUGGCAGUUUUACUGGGGAGGUAUCCUGCUAAAAGGUAACGCAGGAGUACCAAGGUGCACUAGGCUCGGAUGGAAAUCGAGCGAGUCGUAUAACGGCAUAAGUGCGCUUGACUGCGAGAGCGACGGUUCGAGCAGGGACGAAAGUCGGUCGUAAUGAUCCUCGUUAGCCUUGUGGGAGGCUACGAGCUUAACGGAUAAAAGCUACCCUAGGGAUAACAGGCUGAUCGCCGCCAAGAGUCCAUAUCGACGCGGCGGUUUGGCACCUGAUGUCGGCUCACCCUAUCCUGGAGGGGCAGUACCUUCCAAGGGUCCGUCUGUUCGCCGGUUAAAAGGGUACGCGAGCUGGGUUCAGAACGUCGUGAGACAGUUGGUCGGUCUCUAUCCAGUAGAGUCGUGGAGUUUUUGAGGGGGUCUGACCUCAGUACGAGAGGACCAGGUUGGAGGCACCACUGGUGUGCCGGUUGUAGCGUCAGCUGCACCGCCGGGUAGCUAAGUGCCUACGGGAUAACCGCUGAAAGCAUCUAAGUGGGAAGCCCUACCCAAGAUAAGAAACUCGUCCCGCCGUAAGGCGGGUAAAGACACGGGGUAGACUACCCCGUAUAAGAGGCUGGCGGUGUAAGUUCGGUAACGGAUUUAGCCUACCAGUACUAAUAAGUC